Molecule: long non-coding RNA, 3812 nt
Filed under: Bemisia tabaci
Lineage: Eukaryota; Metazoa; Arthropoda; Insecta; Hemiptera; Aleyrodidae
Description: lncRNA ENSSSA3NGG002456
Source: RNAcentral
ACUUCCCUUGCCAUCUCAUCUUGGCCCCUCCCUUGUGCGCUGCGUGGGCGUACCUGGUUCAAAAAGCGGCGGAAAAGUACAAAAUGAAAUGGAUACAUGAGAAAAAAAGAAAAUUCCAAUUCAAAAAUUUGCCGCUAUGUGCCCCGGCCUCAGUGAUAGGUGCUCCCUUAUUAUUGUCUAUAAGGAAGUGUUUAAUCCCCGAAAGUAAAAGCUUCCGCCUGCCACCAAAUGAAAGGUCUCUUGUCUCAGGGUAAUACAAAAUGUUGGGAACAGAUUACUUACUGGAAUAGCUGCGUGUUUUGAGGAUGACGGCGACGAGUUGGAUGAGGUCGGUGGUGAAGUUGGUGGGCGGGGUGUAGAGGAGGUGGAGGGUGCCCUGGAGGAAGGGCUCCUGGAAGAGGGUCUGCUCGCUUACCGGCGGGAAGAACGUUUCGUUCUUGCGCACACUCUGCCCGAAGACCGUCGGGUAGGACUUCUUGGCGUAGACCACCGCGUAGAACAGGAGCAGCGGCACCGCCACCUCGCCCACCGUGAACAGCCAGUGCCGCGCCCGGAACCGCACGUUCUUGUACGUCAGGAUCCACAGCGCCCGCAGAAAUCCCAUCCUUGCGUCACGACUAGGGUGCCUCUGACGACACAACCGGGGUAACAACUGCCGUCGUAGUUAGGGCAACUCUUGAUGUCACACCCGAAACAACGCUUGAUAUCACAGCCUGGAUGACUCUUGAUGUCACAGUCGGAACAACUCUUGAUGUCACAGCCUGGAUGACUCUUGAUGUCACAGUCGGGACAACUCCAGGCGUUCCACCUCAGACGACGCUUGAUGUCACAACAGGAGCAACUCUUGAUGUCACAGCCUGGAUGACUCUUGAUGUCACAGUCGGGACAACUCCAGGCGUUCCACCUCAGACGACGCUUGAUGUCACAACAGGAGCAACUCUUGAUGUCACAGCCUGGAUGACUCUUGAUGUCACAGUCGGGACAACUCCAGGCGUUCCACCUCAGACGACGCUUGAUGUCACAACAGGAACAACUCUCGACGUCAAAGCGAGGUUGGCUUCUGGAGUCAGAGCCUGGGCAACCUUUAACGUCACAGCCCAAAUAACUCUAGAUGUAACAGCCGAAACAACUCCAGACGUCUAAGCCCGGACGACUCUUGACGUGACAAUCGGAACCACUCUCGACGUCACAGCGAGGUUGGCUCCUAGAGUCAUAAAUUGGGUACCGUAACUUCUGACGUCGCAGCCGGAAGUGUCGUCACAGAGAAAAUGUUUGAUGUUACAACCAGUGUAGGUAAUCCUGACUUCACUGCCGUGAGAAAUUGGACGUCGCGAAAGGGGUACCGUAACUCCUGACGUCCAGGGUAACUCCACGCUUUGCGGACCGGCACUUCCUGACGUUACGACCGAACACUUCUGACGUCAUAACUAGGGUAACUCCUAACGGCUUAACUGGAGUAACUCUUUGAGUCACAACUCGAAAAAUUCUGGACGUUAAGAUAGGGGUAACGUCUGGCGUCUUAGUCACUGCAACUCGGGAUAAGUACAAAAUCGGCUGGUCAGAGCCUCAGAGGGUCGUGCCACUUUCUUGAUCGGUUUGCUUUAAACGGCACCUUUGGGGAGGGAAAAAAGAAUAAAAAAAUAAAUCAAUAAAAGAUAUACAUAAUAAAAUUAAAAAAUAAUAAACAAGAAUGAAAGGUAGAUUGAAAGAGGGCUAGUCGACUUAUUUUUGGACUUUUAGGAAACCGGCUCUUAGAAGCAACGACUAUUGAAAGAAAGAGUUAAGGCAACUCGUAAAUUUGGAAGUGACAAUUUUUCUCUUUUCUUUUAGAAAAAAAAAUUAAUACAUUUUUGGAAAUUUUGGAACGCCGAAAUAAUCCGUAUCCGGUUUACGUAAUAUCACGGUCUGUACGUUGUGCGGGAGAGCGGACAGAGCCUUAAAAAAUAGAAUCACAUAGGUAAUACUAGACAAUUCCCUUUCAUAAUUUUCCAGCAACGGAAAUAUUUGUGUUUCGUUCCUUCUUCCAAUUUGCCUUUCAGACGUAUAAAUGAUAACCAAACGAUAACGAGAAAGAGAACAUAAGUAAUAAACACAAACGAAAACCAUCAAAAACGAAAAAUACACAAAACAGAAACGAAAAACUCUGAAUAAAAGAAGGGAGGGAUCAUCCUCCGUCGUCUUUAUGAGCGAAAAGAGAGGAUUGACGUUCAAAAAGAACGCUAUUUUCUCACUUAAGAGCAGAACUUGAAAGUUUCCGAUGCGUUCAUUGUAAGUGCUUUACGUAAAAUUUCGAGGAGGCAUCAUAGAGGGUGUUUCAAAAUGUUGAAUUCGAACAUCGAAAAACGACGAAACACGUGUUUAGUAUUUUCGAACGGGCCCAAAAGUGUAAUAGUACGAAAAAAUAUGCCCCUCAAAAAUAUUAAACACGUAAUACGGCGUUUUUCGAUACUCGAAUUAGUUCAAGAUAUGCAAGGUGGAUAAUUUCUUUUAAAAAACUAUGCAGUAUCGAAGUGUUUGAUUUUGUACCUAGACAGGUGGACCGUUUGGGAAAAACUGAUUUCCCCCACAAAUUAAGACUUUUAAUAUGUAAAUAAGUUACAAAUUACUCGGUUGUUUGCAUAUACUCUCCUUUAGUAAUGACAGGUGGUGAAAUGGUGCGGGGUCCACACCAUUUUAUGGGGGACAAAGAGCCAAGAAAUUCCAAAAAUGUUUCAAUUACUUUGAAUCAAAAUUGUUUUGCUCUGAUGAAUAGCAGUACAAGACUAAGAGGGGAGAGUGUUCAGCUCAGGCAGCUUGCAUUCGUUGCUUCUCGUUUAGUAAUAAUUUAUAGACAAUGUGUAUAAUUCUGUGCAACAAUAAAUUUUUUUUUUUUUUUUUUAAAGAAAAAGAAAAAAAAGACAAGCUAGAUGCGCGCAUUGAAAACAUUUUUACUCCCACUACACUGAUUCCACACGAAUAAAAUUCCACCGUACCUUUCCUACACUCGCUGCGAACUGGCCGAUUACGAGUAUUCAAAGUGUCAUGUUGCGUAGGAUAUCCUUCACGUAUGCACACAAAACCCUUCAAAUUUAAAAAAUCGAUGAUUCAAAAGGAGAAAAAAGUUUAAGAUAAAGCAAAGGCCGCGCUAAAACAAUCGAGGUUGCGAGAGCGAAGAUUUAAUAAGUACCUGUGAAGUGUACUUCGGCAGGCGCUAUCACUGAACUUUCAUUGAGUGGCAGGAUUAAUAAUUCCGAUUAUUUGUUUUUGUAAGAUUUAUUUUUUAUUUUUUUUUAUUAUUUUUAGAUUUAUUAUUAUUAAUAUUAUUAACCCGAACGUGGUUAGAUGAGAUGGAUAAAAACUCUCAGAGUUCGUGAAAUUUAAAAAUCAAGAAAAAUAACUCGAGUGAUGGCCGGAGCUGUUACACUUUAAGACACUAACGGAUCCGAUUCUGUCGAUACACUGAUCGGUCGCGAUCGAUGCGACCGUCCGUUGAAAAUUUAUCACCCCCCCCCUUCUCGUAGGGCUCCCUGCGCUGGCGGUGGGGGAGGAGGCGGAGGGUGCCCCAUGAAUGAAGAGAAAUUCCGGAUUUCAGUGGAAAACCGUAAAUAGACAUCUCCCUAAGCGACACUUUCCAGCUAAUCAGAUUUAUGCAUGCGUUGCUGAAUUUUAUGGUUUGGGCAAUAAGUCUUUCUCAGAUAUUUGCAGACAUAGAGGCUGUAAAAGCAAAAUGAAACACAACUAAAGAACAAAUUGCCUGAGGCUUUUAACACCCCUGCAAGUACAUUAUCCAUCAUUAUUACAAAAUGAUAUUUUUCACUUUUUAUUUCAAUUUG